This 87-nucleotide microRNA precursor is filed under the name Pelobates cultripes (western spadefoot toad). Lineage: Eukaryota; Metazoa; Chordata; Amphibia; Anura; Pelobatidae. The record is from RNAcentral.
UGUAACACUGAUAGCAGUGACAGGCUGUCACUGCGAUCAGAGCGCUCUGAGAUCGCAGUGACAGCCUGUCAUUGCGAUCUCAGAGUU